UUUUUUUUUUUCUUGGGGGUGGGGAGUAGGAGAGAGGAGUGUGUGUCUGUUUUUGCUAUUACACAGAACUGAUCAGAUUUCCUUUUAUAAUCACAAUUAAACUUCCAGACCCGAUCAUCUGAAUAUUUCACAUUUAGAAGAUCUGGGUGUACAUUGACUUAGUCAGUUUCAGAAAGCUUCCAAGAGACGAGGUGAGAAACCGAUGGGUGAGGUCGAGUGAAUCAUUCUAGAAACAUAAACAGCAUAGAUGGACUAGAGGAGCUCAAGGCUGACUCUGAGCUCAGUGUUCUCUCCAUCAGCUGAGACUGGGUACCAUGAGGUUAAGCCCAAAAUACGUUACUCUAGUCCCUCUAUCAGGAAGGGAAUUCCUAAGAAAGCAGGGCCUUUGUACAUCUUGUCCACAGCAGCCCCCACACAGCAGUGGACAAGAUGCCUCAUCCCCAGCACCUGCUUGGUGUUUAAUGUUGUAGUUGGUGAACAGCAAGGACUAGUUGAAAAUGCAUUACCCUUUGCCACUCUGCCCUCUACAGUAGCGGAAGUGGAGAUUCAUAAAAUCUCUCUACAAAACAGGACUGUCAAAGGACUGUCAGACAUUUAAAUCCUGGUCUGACCAGUGGCAGCUCUCAAAGAGGUUUAAGGACAGCAAUGUGGCUGACGGGAAUCGUGUUGGGGCUUAUGGAUGCACCAGCACAGUCAACACAGUUUUACUUCUAUUACAUUUCAUUUCAGGGUUCCUGAUGGGAGUCUAUGGGGAGGGGCUCAAACUUCUUCUCCACUCCUUGGCACCAUAGUGGCUCAGACCAAUAGGCUAGAGAUGUGAAGCUGUGCUCAUGAAAAUUGGAGGGGAAAAAAAAAAAAACCAAAAGAUGCAGGGGUCUUGGGAGAGGUUUCCCUCUGCUGCAGAGAAGGCCUCCCUACCCCUGAAGAGCAGGGAGUAUGAGGAAGAAUGUUAAUGAAAUGAAAUCUGGGUAGUCACUGAGACCUUCAGCGAUAGAUAAUAUGUAGAACAUUCUGAAGGGACAACAUUUUCACCAGGCAUCUAAAACCUGUCAGCAAUGGAGCCCUAAGUUACCAUUCACUCUUCCACUGCAGUGAACAACAGCCCAUGUAGCCCACCCCCACCCCACCUCCCUGACUAAUGUGGAGAUGGCUUAAAAUAACCAGUUCUCUUUAAAUGCACAUGUAUUCUAAAGGGGCUAAUCCUGUAAAUAAGGCAUCCCUCAGUGAGAUUUACUUUUGUAAGCCUCUAGCAACUAAUAUUAACUAGUAUUUAGAUUUAGGAAAGAGAAAGGUACUUCAGUAUUUAUUGGAGUUUUCUUGCUUUCUUUUAUUGGAGGGGUGGAGAAAAGAGGAUUAGUGAGGGGGAUGUUAUUAAGUGAAAAAAAAAAAACAUUAUCGCUUGUUUUGUAUGCGCUAGGAAUUAAGUUUAUAAUCUAGGAGAGGAAACAGGGAAAACACCUGAAUGACUCUGAAACACAUCUACAUCAAUGGUAGCAAACAUAUUACUGUGAGAGUCAGGGGAUG
RNAcentral lists this long non-coding RNA (1524 nucleotides) under Macaca fascicularis (crab-eating macaque). RNAcentral describes it as "lncRNA (ENSMFAG00000047995.1)". Lineage: Eukaryota; Metazoa; Chordata; Mammalia; Primates; Cercopithecidae. The record is from RNAcentral.